This 20-nucleotide ribosomal RNA is filed under the name Thaxterogaster sp. H5197. RNAcentral's name for it is "partial 28S ribosomal RNA". Lineage: Eukaryota; Fungi; Basidiomycota; Agaricomycetes; Agaricales; Cortinariaceae. The record is from RNAcentral.
CAGGUAGGAUUACCCGCUAC